RNAcentral lists this transfer RNA (65 nucleotides) under Ischnosoma splendidum. RNAcentral describes it as "tRNA-Leu". The record is from RNAcentral. Lineage: Eukaryota; Metazoa; Arthropoda; Insecta; Coleoptera; Staphylinidae.
AUUACUUUGGCAGAAUAGUGUAAUAAAUUUAGAAUUUAUGAAUGUAAUUUAUAUUACAAGUAAUA